AGGGAUUACUGUGCUGAGGCAGGAGCAGGGCACGAGGGUCUCGUGGUAGGGUUGAUUCUGGAAACCAGGAUGCCUGAGGGGUGUGUGAGCAUCUCGUAGCCUGCAGCGAUUCCUCUUGCUGAGGAAAGCAGAACCAGAUGUGGAGAGUUUUUCCUUUUUUUCCCACUGCAGUCCUGUAUAAAGACCUCGCUGUUUGGAGUGGGUGGCUGAGCUGCACUUCACAGACUUGGAACUGUCUUUAUAGAGACUGCGCAGGAAGGGCGGAAGAAUAAAUACACGACUCCAUCCAAACACCUUUCAUGUCUUGGCUGUGAUGUGGGCAAACAUGAAGCUGUUGUAAUAAAUCAA
Molecule: long non-coding RNA, 348 nt
Organism: Solea senegalensis (Senegalese sole)
Lineage: Eukaryota; Metazoa; Chordata; Actinopteri; Pleuronectiformes; Soleidae
Exons: 3
Source: RefSeq, a predicted model, not a curated record